Herpailurus yagouaroundi (jaguarundi) is the source of this 855-nucleotide long non-coding RNA. RefSeq lists it as uncharacterized. NCBI's taxonomy places the organism in Eukaryota, Metazoa, Chordata, Mammalia, Carnivora, Felidae. The record is from RefSeq and is a predicted model, not a curated record. The transcript has 2 exons.
ACCCCGGGCACAGGAGAGUCGCUGCUCCUUCCUCCAGUGAUAGGGAUCGCCGCAGGAUUCAGGAAGGCACGGAUGGGGCAAUCUCUGGAGACUCCAAGCUUCACACUGCCCCUGCAGGGACAAGUCAAGAACACAGAGCGGCUCUACAGGAAAGGAUUUAGCCCGAGGGAGAAAUGAAAGCAAUCCAGACUUUGAGUAAAUACAUUUUAUAUGGAACAAGAUAAUAAAAUAGCGUGCAUUUUAUUUAAAACCAACCAAGCGCUGAUAAAAAUAUAUCUCACUGCAGCGGUGAUUCCACAUCAAACCUUAACAGUUAAGAACUGGGAGUUUAAUUCAUUCUUCACAUCACGUGCUGGGCCUGGCGGAGGACACCCACCUCCCCCGGAACCUCAGAGAGGAAGAAUGAGAGCCCUGGAGGAGAGGGCUCGGGUGGCAGGCUCACGCUGUCCCGCUCAGAGCUUGUGAAGGGAAGGGGCCCCGAUGUGCGGCUCUAGUGUGUCUGCUCCGCACGCCUCCGGGGCCACCAGGGUGGACCCUGAUCAGCAAGUCCUUAGUGGCAGGAGUGGAGGGAGAGGGAGGGGUGGAGAACCGUCUGGAGCUGUGCAGACAGGUGAGUCCUCCUCUCUCCUCCAGUGUCUCUGGAAUCCCCACAGGGGAUCUGAUGGCCACCGCAGGGUCCAACUUGCAGGCACAAGCCUAUGAAGCAGUCACCUUUUGCUUUGGCUGAAGGGGAAUCAAGAAUCUGAGAGGGAAAACUCUCUUCUUGACACAGAGCAGCCACAGUGCACUUUCCUACAUACAGUACAGUGGCGGGCAGGCAAAGGGCCCUGCUGGCUCGGAUUAAGGCACUUAGAA